AUUGAACGCUGGCGGAAUGCUUUACACAUGCAAGUCGAACGGUAGAGGGGGCAACCCCUCGAGAGUGGCGAACGGGUGAGUAAUAUAUCGGAACGUGCCCAGUCGUGGGGGAUAACGUAGCGAAAGUUACGCUAAUACCGCAUACGAACUAAGGAUGAAAGCGGGGGAUCGAAAGACCUCGCGCGAUUGGAGCGGCCGAUAUCAGAUUAGGUAGUUGGGGGGGUAAAGGCUCACCAAGCCAACGAUCUGUAGCUGGUCUGAGAGGACGACCAGCCACACUGGAACUGAGACACGGUCCAGACUCCUACGGGAGGCAGCAGUGGGGAAUUUUGGACAAUGGACGCAAGUCUGAUCCAGCCAUUCCGCGUGCAGGAUGAAGGCCCUCGGGUUGUAAACUGCUUUUGUACGGAACGAAAAGGUCUCUCUUAAUACGGGGGGCUCAUGACGGUACCGUAAGAAUAAGCACCGGCUAACUACGUGCCAGCAGCCGCCGAA
RNAcentral lists this ribosomal RNA (495 nucleotides) under uncultured bacterium. Its description in RNAcentral is "partial 16S ribosomal RNA". It matches the Rfam family "Bacterial small subunit ribosomal RNA", at positions 30 to 522 of the family's 1533-position model. The record is from RNAcentral.